Molecule: ribosomal RNA, 253 nt
Filed under: uncultured bacterium
Lineage: Bacteria
Description: partial 16S ribosomal RNA
Rfam family: Bacterial small subunit ribosomal RNA
Source: RNAcentral
UACGGAGGGGGCCAGCGUUGUUCGGAAUUACUGGGCGUAAAGCGCACGUAGGCGGCUUUGCAAGUUAGAGGUGAAAGCCCGGGGCUCAACUCCGGAAUUGCCUUUAAAACUGCAUCGCUAGAAUUGUGGAGAGGUAAGUGGAAUUCCGAGUGUAGAGGUGAAAUUCGUAGAUAUUCGGAAGAACACCAGUGGCGAAGGCGACUUACUGGACACAUAUUGACGCUGAGGUGCGAAAGCGUGGGGAGCAAACAGG